UACGGAGGGUGCGAGCGUUAAUCGGAAUUACUGGGCGUAAAGCGCGCGUAGGCGGUCCGCUAAGUCCUUUGUGAAAGCCCUGGGCUUAACCUGGGAACUGCAGGGGAUACUGGCGGGCUAGAGUGUGGUAGAGGGUAGCGGAAUUUCCGGUGUAGCAGUGAAAUGCGUAGAGAUCGGAAGGAACACCAGUGGCGAAGGCGGCUAUCUGGACCAACACUGACGCUGAGGUGCGAAAGCGUGGGGAGCAAAC
This 250-nucleotide ribosomal RNA is filed under the name uncultured bacterium. RNAcentral's name for it is "partial 16S ribosomal RNA". It matches the Rfam family "Bacterial small subunit ribosomal RNA", at positions 524 to 773 of the family's 1533-position model. The record is from RNAcentral.